RNAcentral lists this ribosomal RNA (1284 nucleotides) under uncultured bacterium. Its description in RNAcentral is "bacterial SSU rRNA". It matches the Rfam family "Bacterial small subunit ribosomal RNA", at positions 91 to 1399 of the family's 1533-position model. The record is from RNAcentral.
UCUAGUGGCGGACGGGUGAGUAACGCGUGGGUAACCUGCCUUAUACAGGGGGAUAACAGUCAGAAACGACUGCUAAUACCGCAUAAGCCCACGGCUCGGCAUCGAGCAGAGGGAAAAGGAGCAAUCCGCUUUGAGAUGGCCUCGCGUCCGAUUAGCUAGUUGGUGAGGUAACGGCCCACCAAGGCGACGAUCGGUAGCCGGACUGAGAGGUUGAACGGCCACAUUGGGACUGAGACACGGCCCAGACUCCUACGGGAGGCAGCAGUGGGGAAUAUUGCACAAUGGGGGAAACCCUGAUGCAGCGACGCCGCGUGGAGGAAGAAGGUCUUCGGAUUGUAAACUCCUGUUGUUGAGGAAGAUAAUGACGGUACUCAACAAGGAAGUGACGGCUAACUACGUGCCAGCAGCCGCGGUAAAACGUAGGUCACAAGCGUUGUCCGGAAUUACUGGGUGUAAAGGGAGCGCAGGCGGGAGAACAAGUUGGAAGUGAAAUCCAUGGGCUCAACCCAUGAACUGCUUUCAAAACUGUUUUUCUUGAGUAGUGCAGAGGUAGGCGGAAUUCCCGGUGUAGCGGUGGAAUGCGUAGAUAUCGGGAGGAACACCAGUGGCGAAGGCGGCCUACUGGGCACCAACUGACGCUGAGGCUCGAAAGUGUGGGUAGCAAACAGGAUUAGAUACCCUGGUAGUCCACACCGUAAACGAUGAUUACUAGGUGUUGGAGGAUUGACCCCUUCAGUGCCGCAGUUAACACAAUAAGUAAUCCACCUGGGGAGUACGACCGCAAGGUUGAAACUCAAAGGAAUUGACGGGGGCCCGCACAAGCAGUGGAGUAUGUGGUUUAAUUCGACGCAACGCGAAGAACCUUACCAAGUCUUGACAUCCCUUGACGAUGCUGGAAACAGUAUUUCUCUUCGGAGCAAGGAGACAGGUGGUGCAUGGUUGUCGUCAGCUCGUGUCGUGAGAUGUUGGGUUAAGUCCCGCAACGAGCGCAACCCUUAUGGUCAGUUACUACGCAAGAGGACUCUGGCCAGACUGCCGUUGACAAAACGGAGGAAGGUGGGGAUGACGUCAAAUCAUCAUGCCCUUUAUGACUUGGGCUACACACGUACUACAAUGGCGUUAAACAAAGAGAAGCAAGACCGCGAGGUGGAGCAAAACUCAGAAACAACGUCCCAGUUCGGACUGCAGGCUGCAACUCGCCUGCACGAAGUCGGAAUUGCUAGUAAUCGUGGAUCAGCAUGCCACGGUGAAUACGUUCCCGGGCCUUGCACACACCGCCCGUCA